Long non-coding RNA from Gordionus sp. m RMFG-2023, 638 nucleotides. RefSeq lists it as uncharacterized. Lineage: Eukaryota; Metazoa; Nematomorpha; Gordioida; Chordodea; Parachordodidae. The record is from RefSeq and is a predicted model, not a curated record. The transcript has 4 exons.
UUUAAAAAUUUAAAUUACGCCAUUACUUUUUUUGUAUUUAUUCCACACAUUGGAUUUUUAUCGCAAGUGAAUGAGUCGGAUAGUAUUUUCGUAAUUUGUUUAUAUUCAUGAGAUCCUAUCGGAAUAUCUUGAAGGCAAGGGCAACCUAUAAGAUAUGGUAGAAAUAAAACUGAAAGUAAAUUGUGCUAUUAAAAUUAACCUGAUAUUUCUUUCUUUGGAAUAAUAAAAUUGCAUAUUAUUAUUUUAUUAUUGCGCAAGACGCGUAUUGAUACAUUUCAAAGAAUCAACUAUUGAUGCAUAUUUUUUGUUUAGCUCAGAUUGACUGAAUAGGUACAUCCCUGUUAUUAGUAAAAUAUGUAUUCCAAGAAAAAUAUCACUUAAAUUUUUAUAAGAUUUAUCCUACAUUAUAUUAAAUUGUUAUUCAUUCACUAUGUGUCAGAUUAUAUUGGUUCUCUAAUGAUAGAAACAUGAGUGGAUGUAGAUAAAACCAUGGAUAAGAUAUGUCAUCAUUAUACCACUUUUUUGCAACACUAGUUAUUAUAUAAAAUAAAAGGUAAAUGGAAAUGUUUAGAAUAAAAAUAAAGAGAAGCUAAAAAAUAAUGGGAAUACAAAAAAGAAGAAGAAAAUAUAUAUUUUUU